CGGGAAGUUCCCCUCGGGGAGCAGUUGAGGGAUUGCUUGUGUGCAGAACUACCAUGAAGUGUCUCCUGCAGUGAUGUCGUUAUACAGGUCUUUCUUCAGAAUAAUUCUAAACUUUGGCUGCUGUUGAAGGAGAUGCUGGGUAUUGUUGUGAUGGGCCACCAACGUGAGGCCAGUGCCAAGGCACCUUCUUGGGAAAUGAUGCCAUUUGGGUGCUUGCAACCAGUUCUCUGGAGAUAUUGAGUGAAGACUGAGUCGACUGUAGCUGAACAAAGGGAAGAUGAAAGAGGCUGUGAAAGAAAUCGUGCCAUUGAGAAUAGACGACUUAAUGGAGUUGUGGAGGUGUGUCAGAUGGGAUUUGUCUUCAUCACUGUGAGCUGCCCCUUUGUGCAGCUUCCUAUUGCUUAGAUCACUUCAGCUUCCAGCAAACUGAAGAAUGCUCACUUUGUUCAAGCCUGUGAGUUGCAACUGACUUAAUUGCUUAGAAAAACAUCUUUACAGGGCAAAGCAAAAGCAAACAAAAUGCUCCAAGAGUGCAGAAGAGUAGACUGAAAGAGAACUGGCACAGAAGGUAAGCCAGUUCAAUAACCGUGUUAUUUAAUGCAAAUUUAGUGUAAAUAACAGAAUAUAGACCAGUA
This is a long non-coding RNA of Pseudopipra pipra, 635 nucleotides long. RefSeq lists it as uncharacterized. The transcript is spliced from 4 exons. NCBI's taxonomy places the organism in Eukaryota, Metazoa, Chordata, Aves, Passeriformes, Pipridae. The record is from RefSeq and is a predicted model, not a curated record.